RNAcentral lists this ribosomal RNA (460 nucleotides) under uncultured bacterium. Its description in RNAcentral is "partial 16S ribosomal RNA". It matches the Rfam family "Bacterial small subunit ribosomal RNA", at positions 338 to 795 of the family's 1533-position model. The record is from RNAcentral.
CCUACGGGUGGCAGCAGUGAGGAAUAUUGGUCAAUGGACGAGAGUCUGAACCAGCCAAGUAGCGUGAAGGAUGACUGCCCUAUGGGUUGUAAACUUCUUUUAUAUGGGAAUAAAAUGUUCCACGUGUGGGAUUUUGUAUGUACCAUAUGAAUAAGGAUCGGCUAACUCCGUGCCAGCAGCCGCGGUAAUACGGAGGAUCCGAGCGUUAUCCGGAUUUAUUGGGUUUAAAGGGAGCGUAGGUGGAUUGUUAAGUCAGUUGUGAAAGUUUGCGGCUCAACCGUAAAAUUGCAGUUGAAACUGGCAGUCUUGAGUACAGUAGAGGUGGGCGGAAUGCGUGGUGUAGCGGUGAAAUGCUUAGAUAUCACGAAGAACUCCGAUUGCGAAGGCAGUUCACUGGACUGCAACUGACACUGAGGCACGAAAGUGUGGGUAUCAAACAGGAUUAGAUACCCCUGUAGUC